Gasterosteus aculeatus aculeatus (three-spined stickleback) is the source of this 3990-nucleotide long non-coding RNA. The record is from Ensembl. Lineage: Eukaryota; Metazoa; Chordata; Actinopteri; Perciformes; Gasterosteidae.
UAAUGGCAUUUUAAAAUCCACAAACGAUCACAUAGAUGACUAAAUAUCGACGCACAAUAUGACGGUGCUGUAUUGGUAGUAAAAAUCGCUACAAUAGAACAACAAGGAGAUGGAAAAGUAACAAAAGCUUUCCUCGGAGAGUGAGAAAAUGACAGAAAAUAGGUAAAAUGACCCAGAAAUGUUUACAUAUUAGUGACAAACCACAAUAAAUGACUUCAAAUAGAUACACUAUAGUAAAAAAAGAUGCAGAACAAUCAAAUAUAUUGAUAAUGCACGAAAAAUUGGAAUAGAAAACAUUAUUGUAUGAAAACAUGGCACAGAGACUAAAAACCCCAAACACACAUUUGUACCUGAGAUGCAUCCGACUAAAGAUCUUUGCGACCUUCUUACAUCACCCGUGUAACAUCUGACAUCCACAGCAGAUGAUUAGUAUAGUCUCUAUGCAUUUCAGAAUAGCAAAGAAACAGUGUUUUCACAGACGUCUUUACCUGCCAAAGGAACAUUGUUUGGCCGUUGCCUUUACUUUGUUAUGUGAUGACAAAUAACAUUGAAUAAAAUACAAAGAUACUCACUUUGACGGCUGAUUUUAGAUCGCACACUUUCUGACCUUCUGUCCUUUGUGUGUCUGGACUUAUAACUGAUGUGAUGCUUUGCAGAAAAAAACCUACACAUUUGAAUCUGUGUGUGUGUGUUUUGCAUGUUUUAAAACCCGUAAGCAGAUCCAGAAUCAGCGCUUUGCUGUAAGACCUUUAUAAAAUGUCUGUUAUCAACCAUCUACUUUUACACUUGGAAUGUGUGAAUUAGUGUAGAAUUUGCUUAUUUUACACUCUAGCAACAAAAUCUCCAACUUAGAUACAUAAUGUAAAGUGAAGACAAAGAAUCUGCAGGUCUGCUGUCGCUUACAUUUACAUACAUUGAAUAAAUGACCCUCUAGAUUUUCUAAGAAACCAGUUUUCAUCAAACGCAGGUGAAAAACAGCAUUAAAACACAGAUGUUCAUUGUCAAUGUCUUUAUUAUGAGUAGUUCUGGUUGUGAGAAAUUUGCUUAUUCACCUCAUCUUUCACCAAGAUGUUGUUUGACAGGAUUCAAAUGAGCUGUGACUAAAAAUCUGGAAUUAUUCAAAUCAAACACCGUCCGUCUCAAUGUGUCACUUGUUAUUUUAAGACCUAAACUACAAGAUCAACUUUGGUCCAGUAUUUUGCUAAUCACAGUUGGGUAUUUUAUUUUGUCUACCACAAUUUGUCAAUUAUUAGUAGUAUUUGGUUAGAUUAGCUAAUUCCGCUGGUCUGUAUGUAGACGUCUACCAACAAGGAGACAAGUAGCAGGUGGUAUGUGCCAAUGCCAGGAGAGGUGUGUACCGAUCUCAGAGGGGUAUGUAGCUGCAUGUCCCAAAGUCAGGAUCGACCUGCAUGGACCCACCGCCUCGUUCAUAUACAAAUCAAAUUUAUUGACAUACUAGACAAACGCAGCAUCUUGAAAGUCGCACAGCACAGCGUCUUCCAUAAGGAAAUAUAUCUUUUUCAUCUUGUCCUUUUUCUGAAUUAAGGCUUUAGAAAUUGAGAUAAAGGGAUUUCGUAUUUGCUCAGAUAGACCGAAAAUGGUAAUCUGGCCAAUGUUUGGUUAACCUACCCAGUCUGACUUACGGUAUCCACCUGUGUAAGUAUUCCGACUCAUUUCAUUCAGACGGCAAUGGAAAAUGGGUUUGCAGUUAAAUCCUCAGGUCAUGGACCAUGCACGGUCGACACACGGGUCCCGCUCUAUCACAUCAUGUCAGGUCAUGUGCCGGUGAGUCAGACUGCAAUGCAAAUCAUAUCAGUUGUAAUGUGCAAAAGAAAUAUGAAAGAAUAUGCAACACAACUAUGAAGAGAAACCAAACGAAUGCAAAGAGAUGCACAACGAUUUUAAGGAGAAACACAAAAAAAUUUAAGAAAUCAAAAUAUAACCACAAACGAGCCCAACAACAAUAUAGCAACACACAAUUACCACAAAGAAAUAUAAUCUAGAGAUAAUGCAUUUUAAAGAGAUAAUGAUUGAAUCUAAUCUGGUCCUUUUACAGAUCUGUUGACGUUCUGACAAAACAGUAGUUUUCCUGCUCUGUGGAGAAAGAGAAGAGGCAACACCAGACUGCUGGGCAACGUUAACCACGUAGAGGCCAACCACAGAAUACAUGUUUCACAUUCCUCGACAUCUGGCGAGGCAUACAAUGCACAGUAAACUGCAGUCCCCACAACCCUCACCAGCAGCACCCCCAGUAUGACCAUGAUGGUGUAGAACACUCUCAUCUUUGCUCGGUCGACCCGCCGUCUACCCUCCCCCCCGGCCCCCGGCCCCGGACCAAUCAGAACGCGGAGAACAGCGAGGCUGCAGAAGGAGACGACGAUGAACAUGAAGGCUGCCAAACAUAAAGCAAAGAUGUUCAUUAAAUUGGAGUCAGCAUGGUAUAGGGAACCUAUGUUUGCAAGCAAGAGCAGCCAAACACAUCCGAUGGAGACGUUUCUGACUCUGAUCCACUUCUGGUUCUUCAGGCCCAGGUAGGUGACGGGGUGAACGACGGCCAGGUAGCGCUCCACACAGGUCAGAGUGUGAAACAGCUGCUGGCCAAAAAAGUUCACUGAUAAAAAGCAUACACCCACCGUGACCAUUCCUGUGAGACGGGUGAGGACGCCGCAACUGCAUAAAAGGUUCCCUACGAUAUUCAUCAGCUCGAUGGCGACCAUGUGGAAGGUGAAGACGUCGGAGUGGCUCGCCGCCGUGCCGGAGCGCCGUUGUUUGAGUCCCAGGUAGACGACGUAGACGCAGGGAGGGAGGACCAGCAGGAGGCUGCAGACGGUGAAAGCGAUCAUGCUGGAGGCGCCGGCUGGACUUCUGUAGCAGUUCUGCAGGAAUUCAAUGACAUUGAUGGAGGAAGAGUUGGAAGGAGAAAACGAGGAAGAGGAAUUGACUGACAUGACUGGGGGCAAGAGUCAGGGACAGAGAGGAUAAGAGAGAAAGAUAAGACACAAUCUUAACAAAAGGUCCUUUUAAACGUCCUCAUCUUACGCACUCUUUAAGCUAAACACACUCUUCCAACAGGUAGAUUUAUUGAUCAAAAUCAUCACAACAUGAAGGUAGGUAUCUUCUACAGAAUUACCUUUCACAUUUGUUUUUGAUUGAACAAGAAUAUUAUUGACAGAUAUAACAUUCGUACUUUAAAAUCAGGUAAUGAAGCAUUUAAAAAAAACAAAUGAAGAACAAUAUCUUAUGAAGAGUGUAAACUAACCGCCAUUAUUCGUAACAGAUGUCACUCUAAUGAAUUAAACUGAUCGAAUUUCCACCAUGAAAAUACACCUACUUUCUUUGCAGUUUUUGAUUGUGAUCCUUCUGAUAUUCUGUCCGCUGUGUCUCUGGCCUGUGGACUGGUGGACUGUCGCCGGCUGCAGCGUAAAUGUGCGUCUGUGUGUGAAUGUUUUGCAUAUCACGUAACCCGAGAAUUGCUCCAACAGGGGGAGCUGCUUCUGAACCUCGGCCCUCAGAUUUACAGGUGCUGAUCCGCAUCCCGACUGCUUCACACUGGUCUGUGACCUCCAGUGAGAGUUGGAGAUGCCAUUAGGACCACACCAUCUGCAUAAAGCAGCGAUGAGAACGGUGAAGCCUCCCCCUCAUCCCCCCGACUACGCCCCAAUAUCCAUGUAAACCACAAACCGGACUAGUGACAAGGUGCCGGCCUGGCGAAGGCCGACGCCCACCGGAAACGACUCCGACUGACGGCUUCCUGUCUGUACUGGGUGUGCUGGGAUUGGACGGCCCCUUGGACUGGGUUUGGCAUGUUAGCAUGCUAACACUUACUAGCCUAAAAAAAUCUAGACUUCAUAAGUUUGAUGAAAGCAGCAUUUCAACACAUAUUAAACAGCAUGUUCACUUGGCAGGGCUGUUUAUUCAUUGAUUGGUUAUUCGGCAUAUGAUUCAUCAGAAUUACAUGAAAAUACACUUAAUUUGGAUAACAAACUCUCU